Molecule: small nuclear RNA, 73 nt
Filed under: Oesophagostomum dentatum (nodular worm)
Lineage: Eukaryota; Metazoa; Nematoda; Chromadorea; Rhabditida; Strongylidae
Description: U4 spliceosomal RNA
Rfam family: U4 spliceosomal RNA
About the family: U4 small nuclear RNA (U4 snRNA) is a component of the major U2-dependent spliceosome. The structure of U4 snRNA from yeast and human has been reported.
Source: Rfam by way of RNAcentral
AGCUUUGCGCAGGGGCGAUAACGUGACCAGUGAGAUUCUGCCGAUGUGUGUUUAUUGCUGGCUGGAAAUAAUG